GUGCCUAAUACAUGCAAGUCGAACGAGUUCUGAUUAUUGAAAGGUGCUUGCAUCUUGAUUUAAUUUUGAACGAGUGGCGGACGGGUGAGUAACGCGUGGGUAACCUGCCCUUAAGUGGGGGAUAACAUUUGGAAACAGAUGCUAAUACCGCAUAAAUCCGAGAACCGCAUGGUUCUUGGCUGAAAGAUGGCGUAAGCUAUCGCUUUUGGAUGGACCCGCGGCGUAUUAGCUAGUUGGUGAGGUAACGGCUCACCAAGGCAAUGAUACGUAGCCGAACUGAGAGGUUGAUCGGCCACAUUGGGACUGAGACACGGCCCAAACUCCUACGGGAGGCAGCAGUAGGGAAUCUUCCACAAUGGACGCAAGUCUGAUGGAGCAACGCCGCGUGAGUGAAGAAGGCUUUCGGGUCGUAAAACUCUGUUGUUGGAGAAGAAUGGUCGGCAGAGUAACUGUUGUCGGCGUGACGGUAUCCAACCAGAAAGCCACGGCUAACUACGUGCCAGCAGCCGCGGUAAUACGUAGGUGGCAAGCGUUAUCCGGAUUUAUUGGGCGUAAAGCGAGCGCAGGCGGUUUUUUAAGUCUGAUGUGAAAGCCCUCGGCUUAACCGAGGAAGUGCAUCGGAAACUGGGAAACUUGAGUGCAGAAGAGGACAGUGGAACUCCAUGUGUAGCGGUGAAAUGCGUAGAUAUAUGGAAGAACACCAGUGGCGAAGGCGGCUGUCUGGUCUGUAACUGACGCUGAGGCUCGAAAGCAUGGGUAGCGAACAGGAUUAGAUACCCUGGUAGUCCAUGCCGUAAACGAUGAAUGCUAGGUGUUGGAGGGUUUCCGCCCUUCAGUGCCGCAGCUAACGCAUUAAGCAUUCCGCCUGGGGAGUACGACCGCAAGGUUGAAACUCAAAGGAAUUGACGGGGGCCCGCACAAGCGGUGGAGCAUGUGGUUUAAUUCGAAGCAACGCGAAGAACCUUACCAGGUCUUGACAUCUUUUGAUCACCUGAGAGAUCAGGUUUCCCCUUCGGGGGCAAAAUGACAGGUGGUGCAUGGUUGUCGUCAGCUCGUGUCGUGAGAUGCUGGGUUAAGUCCCGCAACGAGCGCAACCCUUAUGACUAGUUGCCAGCAUUUAGUUGGGCACUCUAGUAAGACUGCCGGUGACAAACCGGAGGAAGGUGGGGAUGACGUCGAAUCAUCAUGCCCCUUAUGACCUGGGCUACACACGUGCUACAAUGGAUGGUACAACGAGUUGCGAGACCGCGAGGUCAAGCUAAUCUCUUAAAGCCAUUCUCAGUUCGGACUGUAGGCUGCAACUCGCCUACACGAAGUCGGAAUCGCUAGUAAUCGCGGAUCAGCACGCCGCGGUGAAUACGUUCCCGGGCCUUGUACACACCGCCCGUCACACCAUGAGAGUUUGUAACACCCGAAGCCGGUGGCGUAACCCUUUUAGGGAGCGAGCCGUCUAAGGUGGGACAAAUGAUUAGGGUGAAGUCAUAAC
RNAcentral lists this ribosomal RNA (1486 nucleotides) under uncultured organism. RNAcentral describes it as "SSU rRNA". It matches the Rfam family "Bacterial small subunit ribosomal RNA". The record is from RNAcentral.